AAUGAAAUAUAUAUGUUAUUUGUAAAUUAGGAGGUGUACCUCCCCUCGAAUUGACAAUCAUAAAUUAAUUGUAUACAACGCUGAUUCGCAAGAAAAAUCAAGUAUCUUUACAUUGCUCUAGUCUAUGGCUCCAAUCGAAUAGUUUCUUUCUUCAUCUUCCAGUGCUGGAUGGAAACAGAGGUCUUUGUGGAGUGGGCAUGAAGGAGCGGCCGCCACUGCUGCUGCCCUCCUCUGAAUAGCCGUCAGCGCCACCGGCCUCGAGAUCCACCCCCGCCCCGCCUAGCUCCGUCGCUCUCCUUCUCGCCAGCGACGCCUCCUGCCGCUGCUCGAUGUACUUGCGCGUCCGGCACACAUAGACCGCAAGAACCACUAAGGCAAUCGCGAAGAACAGUCCCACCACGAUCCCAGCGAUCGCCUCGUGCGAGAGCGUGAUCGUUUCCUUGCUGGAUUUGGAUUGCUCCAGUAGCCACCGUCGUCCAAUCGACCCAAUCGCUGGCUGGAUCAUCCGCUGGAUCGAUCCAGGAGCUUCAUACCCGUAUUGGGUGACCUCAUAGGAUGAAUCUACACCGCUGCUACAACCGCCGCCUGGGAUCCAGAUCGCAAGCAGCAGGAAUAGAGAAAGAAGAAGAAGAAGCAAGCCGCUCCUCUGGGUUGGCACUACCUCUCCGCCAAAUAGCAACAUUUUCGUGAUCCUGCGUGUAUAGGGAUGUGUUCGCUGCCAAGAUAUCUAUUUCUCGAGCUCUCAAGUAUAAUGGAAGUUUGGGCGAUUUUAUCAUUUAUAUAGACUCUGUUGACCUACAAUACAUACGCGGAUAACGCGACUAGUUCAAAGUCUUCUUGUGAAUAGCGCGUCAUACGUGGACUUUCGUGGCCUUUGACGCUUGUGCUUCGCCUAGACCUUGAAGUUGACAGAACUUUUCUUAUGUGAAUUUCUUCUUCCUAAACCCUAAAUAAUCAAAGUGAUUUCAUGGCAAGAUCGCUUGUGAUCUGCAAAGAAAGAAGGAAUCUUUAUAGAUCAGUCUUCCUUGCCUCAAAAAUCCACAUUGCUUGCCGUGAGCUGAGAUGCAUUUCGACCAGCAGCUUAAAAGUUUUUAAGCCUAGAAGUUGGCGGGCGCAAUUUUCAUUAUAGGUUGGAGGGCAAAGCGUGGAGGUGGAUGAUGACACAGACGAGCAGGAUAUAAUCUCCAGCAUUCUCCACCGUGCCAAGUACAAGGCUCCCAGCUGCCUCAAGGAACUCACUGUUGUGCUUGAGUAUAGCAAGGAUGGUGAUGACCAGAUGGAAGUUAGCAGUCACUGCUGUUGGCUCCCUCACAAAGCUCUCCCUCGAAGCUCUCCAUGGGACCAAUGGGGAGCAGCGUACUCCACCGCGAUUCAAGAGCUCCACAUCACUGGGAAACCAUGUUGGGGGGUGUGGGAUCUUGUUGGUGACACCUCCGGGCACAAAUGAUUUAUUUGUGGGCACAAAUGAUUGUAACACAAAUCAAUCAGUAAGAUUUAACAAAGAAAAAAAACCAAAGAAGAAUAGUCAAGAUCCACAUGAAGAAAUAGUUGUAUUGUCUCCAGAUUAACAAAGAAAAGAGACUGUCCAUGGUCAUCUUGUGUUCACUGUCAAUUCAUUGGAGCGCAAGCCUCAAAACAUAGGUGAGACUGGGAGAGAUUGGCGAUGGCAUCCACCUUCCAGUGUCCAUAUAACGCCAACUUACGAAGGUUGUCAAAUCGCGUGUCCACAACGCAAGAGUUACACUGUUCAAUACCUCUAGGUUCGGGCACGAAGCUAGCAGCAUCUGGAGCAGGACGUAACAUCUUUUUACACGAAUCAUCUUGAAAAGAGAUCUAAGGCAAGAAAGAAUCAUGGCUGUCCACUCUUGAUAGGAAAGAUCAACGCAAAACACUCAAAUGAAACGCAGACCACUACAACCCUGUCUUGGAUUCGAUCGAAAACCCAUUGAGCCUCCAUUGCCACAUUUCCCAUACAUGUUGAUCAAGCUACUGGCCACACGAGGAUUGGAUUGGAGCCAUAUCCUGUGUGGAUGUGGAUCCUCCUCCCUCUCUCCAAAUCCCUGGCGCCGGUGCAGGAUUUCAUGCUGUCCUUGACUCUAACCAUAAACUUUUCUCUCUAUUUCAAAGAGGUGGGAGCGAGAGGACUCCAGUCUCCUCUCUAUGUGGCGGUAGCUCCAGUGGAACCUGUGCAGAAAACUCACAAGGACGAGCAUCAACAUCGUGACUCGCAAAACCACAAGAGGUACCAAUUCAUCUUUCGUGAAACUUAGUAGUCAUGCAGUUGAUUUUCAAUAAGAACUUGACAAAGAUCAGGCAUUGCUACUUCUCACGCGUGAAAAAAUGCGACCAGGAAAAAAGAAGAGCAAGUCGAACAGCACCCGGUAGCAUUCGUAGCUUGGCUUCAGUGCCAGGAGUUCCCAGUCCGCCACAACUUGGCGGCAGUGGAUCACGAUGUCUUCCACUUGAUGUACUCCAAGUAAAUCCUUGAGAACCAUCACGGUGGGCGGUGUGGGAUCUUGCACGUGAAGAUGAACAGCCACAUCCUUACGCUUGGUGACACCUCCAAGCUCCCUCAGUUAACAGCGAACAUAAGAUGACCAUGGACAGUCUCUUCUCUUUGUUUGGCUUUGGAGACAAUACAUACUGACUGCUGUUCUCUUCAGGUUCGUUUUGUUUUUUUUGUCUUGUGUUUCUUGCUAAUUGAUCUAUGUUGCAGUCAUUUGUGCCUGGAGGUGUCACCAAGUGCAAGGAUGUGACUGUUCAUCUUCACGUGCAAGAUCCCACACCGCCCACCGUGAUGGUUCUCAAGGAUUUACUUGGAGUUCAUCAAGUAAAAGAGAUUGUGGCUCACUGCAGCGAAGUUGUGGCGAACUGGGAACUUCUCUCACUGAAGCCACGCUACAAAUGCUUCCAGAGUGCUGUUCGACUUUGGUCGCAUUUCUUUUGCACGUGAGAACUGCAUCACUGGCUUUAUUAGUUAGCAAUGCCUGAGCUUGGCAACGUAUCACUUUUUGUAGUUUCUAAAUCAAAGAAAACGUUGGCGAGCUUUUACCAAGUACUUCCAAGAUUGUAAUAGCUUCUAAAGAGGUGUGGAUACUCUUCUUCGCUGGAUAUUUACUGCUAGUGAGAAAACAAAAGGGGAAAGGGCCUGAUCUCUAGGGGUUGAGAGGGAAAGAUGAGUGAAUGAGUGUUAUGUAUUAAUAUGAAAACAAUGAAUGGAGAUAAGGAUCCACAACUCGGAUUCCCCCCUUUAAAAGGCUGGCAGCAUAUGAUAAUGAAUGGUAUAUGCUGUGCAUGAUCAAAUCUAAUGCAGCCUUGGGUUCAGGGUUAGAGUCCCCUGAGCCUGGGGUUUUGGUUAAUACCCUUCAUUGAGUUGUGAGCUUGCCUUUGCUGCACUAUGAGCUUCACGACCAAGCAAACCACCUACGAACCUCCUCACCUCUAGCUUUGGUUUGUUGGGAAGUGGUUCACUUGGUUGUGGAGCUCGCAGUGCAUGCAUUGAUCGAGGGCUUCAAACAAUUUGCGGGUGCAAUAGCUCAGAUCACAGAGUUUAUCCUUGUACUCCUUCCUGAUCUCAUUGUAAUCACAGUGUACCUGACUCUAUGGCUGAGGCAUGGCUACUACUCCGUGAUCCUGGUAUUCCUUGCUAGGGUUCACUGUGUUCUUGGUCCUGUGAUUUGAAGUUAAUCUGUUCCGUUGGAUGUGGGUGGCGUGGUUGGUCCAGAUUCUUUGAGGUGGUGCAUUUUGGAUUGAUGCUGGAUGAACGGCCCAGAUGUGGCACUGAAAUUAAUGUAUCCGUUGGGGUUGAACGGCGCAAAUCUUCCGCUUGAAAUUUUGUUGAAGGGGUGCUGAUGCUGCUCAUGGCAUUUGUUGGAGGAGGCAUGGUUGCAUGUUCUGCGAGUGAUCAGCAAAGGUAGUCGAUGUUUUCUUUCGUGGAGCAUAUUGAGGGGGUCAGGGCGGUAAAAAUAACGUUCUCAGCUGGCCAGCUGACGUUUUCCUUUGGAGAUGUUGAAUUGUUGGUGAGAAGUUGUCAGUUUUGGGGCUGAUUCAAGUGGAUCUAAUGCUAAAAAGCUAUUUUAUGCUUUGGUUUUUUUACUUCUUUGGUUCUUUUACUUCUUCAAAGUUUAAUUUCAUCCCUUUAUUGAGUGUGGAAGCUGGUGUGAGUUGUCUUCAUUGUCACUGAUGAUGAGGUGCUCUCAGAGCAGCGGCUUUUGAGCUGGAUUCGCUGGUGUGUUGUGUGUGAGGUGGUGGCAAAGUGGAGUUGAAUUGUUGAAGUGUUUAUUGCUGGAGCUGGUGUUGCUGGAGUGAGUUGAGCCUGAUUGUUAAGAUGUUGGCUUCGGUUUCUUGCUGGGAGUUGCUCCUUCUGAUCCUGACUGAUCCUCGGAGCUGUCGCUUUGUUCUUCAGAGUUCAUUUGGGUUGUCCACGGUUGCUUGUUGGGAAGAGCUUGGUGUAGAGCUACCAGCAGUGGGAACAUUACUGUCUGCAUGGUUUUCUUGUUGAGUGUGGUGAGGAUGGCACGGUCGAGAAGCUUGAGAAGGAGCUCGUGGAGAUGAUGAGCCACGUUCACACAUUUGCCGUCGAAUAGAGCUCUGUAGACCUCUGCUGUGCGCUUGCUGAUGGUGCGAUCCGUUGGGCAAAGUUCGUAGUAGAGGAGGAGGGCUCACCAACAACUCAACAUCUCCAAAGGAAAAGAGUUGUGAUUUGUUUGUAAGGGCAUUCUUAUACACAAACUUCACUGGAUUCUUCGUCUGUACAAGUUUUUCCUGCCAAAGAAACUUCUUCCACCCUUGCAGCGCACAGCGAUAGAGCAGCCGCGGCUGGAGAAGAAGCCUCAAAUUCUUUGAUCAAGGCCUUGACGUCGUCUAGCUUUCCCGACCGGCAAACUCAGUCGAGGAUGGAGCUGCAAGUGGUGGCGUCCGGCAGCAUCCCCUUGGCCAGCACCACUCGCAGCAGCUCCAUCGUCCCGGCCAAGUUCCCAGAUCUGUGGAGACCACCGAAGCAAGCCGCGAAGGUGAACGAAUCCGGCUGGUGGCCCUUGCCGACCAUCUCCUCAAGAACAGUGAUCGCCUGCUCGGUCUUCCCCGACUUCCACAGCCCGUCCACGAGGAUGUUGUAAGUCACGGUGUCGGGAUCCCAGCCAAAGCUCUUAAGCUUGCUCACGAGCUGGAGAGCGUCGUCGGUUCUCGAGGCCCGGCAGAGCGCGUAGACGAGCGAGCCGUAAGUCAUGGAUUCGGGCACGCAGCCGGAGCUCACCAUCUCCUCCAGGAACUCGCAGGGCUCCUCGAUCCGGCCCGACUUGCACAGGCCGUGGACAAGCACGUUGUAAGUCACCACGUUUGGAGGAACUCCGAGAUUCCCCAUGAGAUCGAGGAUGUCCCGCGCGGCCUCCACCUGUCCCGCCUUGCACAGCCCGUCGAUGAGCGCGCCGAAAGUCAUCACGUCCGGCUGCAUGUUCUUGGCCACCAUCUCCUCGAAGAGCGCGGACGCCUGCUCGAAGUUGCCGGCCUUGCAAGCCCCCGCGAUGAGAAUGUUGAAGGUGACUUUGUCAGGCACGAGCAUCCGGUUGUAGACCUGGAGCGCUCUCGACACGUCCCCGAGCUUGGAAAGUCCGUUGAUACAGCAGUUGAAAGCGUACGUGUCCGGGUCGGGCAUGGCGUCGAGCAGCGCCUCGGCCUGACCCGCCCGCCCCGUCCGGAAGAGGCCAUCGAUCAAGGUGCAGUACGUGAUCUUGUCCGGGGCCAGGCCGUGCUUGAGCGUCAUGUCGUCGAACAUCUGGAAGGCCUCGCCCGAUCGGUCCGACUUGCAGAGUCCGUCGAUGAUCGAGUUGAAAGUCACCACGUUUGGCGUGCAUCCCCGCGACGCCAUGCCGUGGAGGAGCUCCAGAGCCUCGUCGACGCGGGAGGCCUUGCAAAAGGCGUCGACGAGUACGCUAUAGGUGAUCACGUCCGGGGUGACGCCCUUGUCCACCAUGCUCUCGAUCAUGGCGUGGGCUCUCUCCAUCUUGUCGGCCUUGCACAGCCCGUUCACGAGCGCGUUGUAAGUCACCACGUUUGGGACGUAGCCACCUGCGAUCAUGUCGUCGUUGCAAGCCUCGUCGGUCUGGCCACACUUGCACAGCCCGUCGAUCAGCGUGCUGAAAGUCACGGUGUCUGGAGAGACUCUCAAGCUCCCAUCUCGCAAGCUCCUCAUCAGCUCGCACGCCUCGGCCGUCAUGGACUGCUUGCAAAGCCCGUCGAGGAACGAGUUGUAAGUGAUGAUGUUUGGAAGAACGUCGCAGCUCUUCCGCGUCAUCUCCUGGAUGAGCUCUCGCGCCUCGUCGAUCCGGCCGACCUUGCACAGCCCGUUGAUGAGCACGCUGUAGGUGACGACGUUUGGGACGCAACCUCGAGAGCUCAUGCCGCCAUGGAGCCGCCGUGCCUCCUCCAGAUCCCCGGCUUUGCACAAGCUGUCGAUCAGCGUGUUGUAAGUCACCACGUCGGGGUGGUGGCCUCUCUUCACGAGCUCCUCGAAGAGCUCCAUCCCUGCGCCAAGCUCGUUGCUCUUGCACAGCCCAUUGAUGAUCGUGUUGUAAGUCACGAUGGUGGGAGCUACGCCGUCGCGAGCCAUCUCCCCGCGGAAGAUCUCCAGCGCGCGGGCGGUCUCGCCGGCGCGGCACAGCGACUGGAGCACGAUGUUGUAGUCCGCCACCGAGCGCGAGGAGCUCCGGACAAAAAAAAAUUUCAGGGGACACAAAUUUACUCUUUGAGUGUUGAUGGUGGCGGUGGUGAUUGGUACCAGUAGAUUCGCGGCAGCAGUAUGGUGGUGGGGAUUUAUACACAUAUGGUGGUGGUGGUGGUGGCGACUCAUAUUUAUACGGUGGCGAUGGAGGUGGGGACUGCAGUGGUGGUGGAGAUGUGUACUUGUAUGGAGCUGGCGAUGGUGUACAUUUCUCACAUUUUGGUGGUGGUGGUGGUGGAGAUUUGUACUCGCACGGAGGUGGCAAUGGUGGAGACUUCUCGCAUUUUGGUGGUGGUGGCGGUGGGGAUUUCUCACAUUUUGGCGGUGGUGGUGGCGGGAACUUCGGUGGUGGUGGUAGUGGUGGCAGCGGAGACUUGGGUGGCUGGGGAGGUGGAGAUUUUUCACACUUUAGUGGAGGUGGUGGAGACUUGUAACGGUAAGGAGGUGGUGGCGAUUCAACUGGCGGUGAUGGAGAUUUGUGAUGGUGUGGUGGCGACUCAACCGGCGGUGGUGGUGAUUCAACCGGUGGUGGUGGCGAUUCCAUCUGUGGUGGUGGGGAUUUGUAACAGUAAGGAGGUGCAUUAGGAGGGCACAAACGAUUUGGAAACCACCAGGGUCUUCUCAGCCAUGGCCUCCAACAGAAGAAAUGAUCGUGCUCUUGGGAAUUCUAAAGCCAAAGUUCUUGGCAUCUCCAAAAGCCCCUGCAUUUCGAUCCAAAACCUCCUGAGAUCCAUCACAACUGACAGUAGAAACCAGGAGAAGCAGCAAAAGCAUGCUGCGUGACUUGAGGAAAAUCAUCACGUUCUCGAUAGAGAACCAAGAUCACUGGAAAGAGAGACCUUUUCUGUGAUGCUACAAAAAUUUCCAGGUUACCGUGUCCUAUCCGCUUUCAAAAUAGUAAUGCUUUAGAAAUUGAUGGCUCUGUUUAAUGUUUAGCAAAAGAUUUGCAACGCGCGCCCGUCUCUCGCCUCCACUCUGACUUCGAGGUGCAGAGGAGCUGAAGGAGCGGCAGACCUGGACAACAUUUUCGAGUGAGCAUCCGGCUGCGUUCCGAGGAUUUGAGCACAGCUUACUUUUACAACUCUUGUGUUGUUGACAAGCGAUGAGACAAUCUUCGUAAGAUGGCGCUAAUUGGACACUGGAAGAGGGAUGCCAUUGCCAAGCUCUCUCAGUUCUCACCUCUGGUCCCGAUGCUCGCCCUCCACCGUUUUAACAGCGAACACAAGAUGACCUCUUAUCUAAUUUGUUUGGCAACCUGGAGACUCUCUUCGGUUUUUUCCUUUUCUUUCUUGCUGAUCGAUCUGUGUUGCAGUCAUUCGUGCCUGGAGGUGUCACCAAGCGCAAGGAUGUGACUGUUCAUCUCUACGUGUAAGAUCCCACACCGCCCAACCUGAUGGUUCUCAAGGAUUUACUUGGAGUUCAUCAAGUCGAAGAGAUCGUGAUUCACUGCAGCCAAGCUGUGGCGAACUGGGGACUGCUGGCGCUGAAGCCAGGCUACGAAUGCUUCCAGGUGCUGUUCGACUUGCUCUUUGGUCGCAUUUCUUUCGCACGAGAGAAACAGCAUCAUUGACUGUAUUAGUGGCGAUGCGUGAUCUUUGUCAAGUUUUUAUUGAACAUCAACGUCAUGACUAGCCUGGUAUAUUUGUAACACCUCGAGCCGCCGUUGACGCUGUAGGUGACGACGCGCUCAUGUCGCCAUGAAGAGCCGGGCCUGCUCGAGAUCCCCCGCUUUGCACAAGCUAUCGAUCAGAGCUGGUUGUAAGUCGCCACGUCGGGGGAUGGAGCGAUCCCAAUGUGAGCUACGCGGAUUGGGCGCUCGCUUCCACGUCAGGGAUUCUUCUCUUCCAUCGCUCUUCCUCUCCUCCUCGCCAUUCGUCCUCCUUGCGGCGCUCUGCGGCCUGCUUGUCGAAGUCUUUCCUGUAGGAAUAAUGAUGAACACGACAAGCAGUCCGAAUCGUGAUCAGAUCUCUGGUGAUUUCCGAUUUGAUUGAAGUUGUAUAUAUAUAUACAGCCAUAUAUGAAUCAGUGUGUGUUGAAGUGAAAUCUGUUGUUCUUGCUCCGCUUUUCUUUCUUGGUAUCGGAGCGCUGGUUUCUGAACUCUUUCUUCUCCUUUCUUUGUGCCUCACAUCAUGAGCUGCAGCAAAGUUGGAUUGAUCUUGCUUCAGGGAGUCACUGCCUUUGAUGGGAGGAGAGGGUUCAACACUUGGUCCGAGAAAAUGAUGCGCGUGCUGCAGAUGGAAGAACUCUGGGAAAUCGUUUCACCACCAACAAGAUGCUCGUACGCGGCGAGCCCCUGCUACGUUGGGAGCUUCAACUUCAGUGGAAGGAGAAGUCGUGGAUGAAGAGGCAAUUCGUGCCUCUGUUGCAGCAGCUCGACAACAGCUUGAUCCAGGGGAACAAGCUGUGCUGGAGAAGAAGGAAUCUCGAGCAAAAGGAUUGAUUCUUUCUAAGCUUGCAGAUGCCCUUAUGAUGCGUUUGCGUCAUAAGUGUGCUUGUGAGAUCUGGGCUCAUCUCCACAACAAGUAUGCUGUUCUUUCCCUCUCCAAGAUUAGCAUGGUCGAGACUUGCAUUCGUGAGACCCGUUUUCAUCCAGGCGAGAACUUUGAAGAGUUCCUCGCCAAGAUGCAAGAUCUGUGGAUGGAGCUUGAAGGCAGUCCAGCAGCGUUCAACGAAAGCAAGAAAGUUCUGGCACUUUGCGAGGCCAUGCAAGAUUCUUCUUUUAGUUCUUUCGUCCCUACCGUUCGCAUGAUGUCGCUCAACUUUGAACAAGCUGAGCAAACUUUACGCUCGGAGCUGGCUGCGAGAGGUUUGAUUGUGGACUUUGAUCAAAGGCCUUCCCAUGUUUUGAUCUCACAGUCUACAGCAAAUGCUUCUGCAUCAAGCAAUCAGUCAGGGACUGAUUCAGCUCUGUGGGCUGGAAAUCAUCGAAACAGAGGAGGCCGUGGAAGAGGAGGACGAGGCAGAGGUCGCGGGUUUAGGGGAAAUCCGCAGCAGCAGCAGAAUUCAGGGAAUUCUGGUAAAGAAGCAGCAGUUCGGGAUUGUUUUGUGGCCAAGAACAAACAGGAAUGCUGGACCUGUGGGAUGCCAAGGCACUACUCCAAGGAUUGCCCAGUUGCAGCUUGGCUGCAGCACAUGAACAUAGGGCUCGCAGCAAAUGCUCAGGAAGGGGAAACACAGGAACUUGCGGCAUCAUCUGAGGUAGCAGUUCCAAACGUUUCUGAAAAACUGACCAUCGAUUCAGGUUCAGAGAGACACCUGAUGCAAAGCGGGUCGAACUUUGUGCAGUUGCGUGCUGCAAAAGGGAAGUGCAUUCGUGUGGGAGAUGGAAGCAUUUUACCUGUUCGCGCAACUGGGGAUGUGCGAGUUCCACUGGGAAGAAAGUCUCUGCUCUUGAAGAAUGCGUGGUAUGUUCCAAAGAUAGUGAAGAAUCUGGUUUCUGUAGCCAAGCUUACGGAUGAAGGUCUGGAUGUGAAUUUCUCCAAACAUCAAUGUCAAGUUCUUGCAAAUGGCCGUCCAUUACUGCAUUUUCCCAGAUGUGGUAACCUGUUUGAGAAGGAGAUAGCUUCUGGAGAAAAAUCGAAUGCUCCUGAGAUAUGCAUGACUGCAGAUAGCUCUCUCUGGCAUUCUCGACUUGCACAUGCCAAUCCUCCUCUCAUCAGGCGUAUGCAGAAGCAGGAGCUUGUGGAUGGCUUCAACGACCACGUUCUUCAAAGUUCAGCAAAAUGUCACACUUGCAUUCUUGGCAAGCAAACCCGUUGUACUUUCAAACCUGCUGUGACCAGAAGCACUCGUCCCUUGCAGCUCAUUCACUCAGAUGUUUGUGGACCCAUGCGACUGUUUGCUCAAAAUGGCACGAAGUAUUUUGUGACAUUUACAGAUGAUUUCUCCAGGCACACGGACGUCUUCUUUCUUCGUCACAAAGAUGAAGUCUUUAGCAAAUUCAAGCAAUUCAUAGUAGAAGCCGAAGUGAAAACUGGUCAGAGGGUUGGUUGUUUACGUACUGAUUCAGGAGGGGAAUACGUCAACAAGUCCUUUCAGCAGUUCUGUGCUGAACGAGGAAUUCUUCAUCAGCGUUCUUGCUCUCAUACCCCUCAACAGAAUGGAGUCUCUAAGCGCAAGAAUAGGACAAUCAUGAACGCAGUUUGGUGCUUCCUUCAAGAAUCAGGACUACCAAAAUUCCUUUGGGCUGAAGCAGUUGGAUCAGCUGUGCAUGUUCAAAACCUUCUCCCUCAUUCUCACAAUCCCAACAAGAUCCCAGAAGAGCUUUGGACUGGUCAAAGACAAUCGGUGGUGCAUCUCAGGCGUUUUGGUUGUUUAAGCUUUGCAAAAAGGGUGGAUGAGCAUCUUGGCAAGUUGGAGAGCAGAAGCAAGCUGGCCUUUCUUGUUGGAUACGAUUCCAAUUCAAAAGGAUAUCACCUGUACCAGCCUGGUAAUCAUCAAAUUUUUGUAAGCACUGAUGUUCGUUUUGAUGAAGGAACACUCUACAAAGAUCAUGUUCAAGAGGAAGGAAGCUCAGAUCAGAACAUGAACUGGACUCCAGAAGAAUGGAGUUGGGAUGGUGUUGAAGACGGUGAUGAAGAUGACGAUGAUCUGACAAUCAUCUAUCCCUCAUCUCCUUUAGCAGAUGAUCAUCCAACACCAGUCUCUGAAUCUUUUCUUCCUGAAGAACAGGGCGAUGCUACUCAUCGUGCACGAACUGGAGAAGUCGACAGGCUCACACGUGAUCUACCAUUCAAUGUGGAGAACUAUGGGCGGACAUCAUCUGGACGAUCAAGCAAAGCACCUCAUCCCAAGCAAUGGUCUUUUGCAGCAACAGAAAUAGCUUCUGAACCAGUCAACUUUGAGCAAGCGAUUCAAGCUCCUGAUGCAGAUAAGUGGAUUUCAGCAAUGCAAGAUGAGUUGAAUUCUCUUGAUGAGAACCAGACUUAUGACUUGGUGGAAGCUCCUAAAGGACGUGAAGUUGUUGGAUCACGCUGGGUGUUCAAGCUUCACAGAAAUCCUGAUGGAUCGGUACAGCGUUACAAAGCAAGACUUGUUGCUCAAGGAUAUUCACAAGUUCCUGGAGUGGAUUUUGAUGAGACGUUCUCACCAAUUGUGAAGCAGACAAGUAUCAGAAUGCUUCUGGCUUUUACAGCGGAGUUUGGUUUGUGCGCACAUCACAUGGACGUAAAAACAGCCUUCCUUAAUGGGAACUUGAAGGAGGAGAUAUUUAUGCGGCAACCCCCAGGCUUUGAGCUUUUUGGAUCCGGUUGUUCCGAACUCGUCUGCAAGCUUCGCAAGGCUCUUUAUGGCCUUAAGCAGGCUUCCCGUCAGUGGUAUGAAUGUUUGGAUUCUUUUCUUAUGGAUCUCGGUAUGCAGAGGUUGAACAGCGAUGGAAAUUUAUAUCUUCUUCAGCAGGGUGAUCACUUUGUUGUGAUAGCAGUUUAUGUGGACGACUGUUUGAUUGUCAGCAACAAUCACACUGUUUUGAAGGAUGUGAAGAUCAAGCUUAUGAACAGGUUUGUGAUGAAGGACUUAGGAGCUGUGCGGCAGCUGUUAGGGAUGGAAGUUGACAGGGAUGAAGCAGACAGGACAAUCACCCUCACACAGUGCCAAUAUGUGAAGAAGCUUCUCAACCAGUUCAACAUGACAAGUUGCAAAUCCGUGGCUGCACCAAUCGUCACUGGCAUCAAGUUCACAAGCAAGAUGGAUGAUUUAUUUGAUCAGCCCUCGGUCUACCGAUCACUUGUUGGAGGACUACUCUACCUCGCCAACAUGACUCGCCCCGACAUCUCCUUUGCCGUUGGUCUCCUCAGCCGAUACAUGCAGUCUCUGAGUUGUUAUCAUUGGCAGAUGGCGAAGAGAGUUUUGAGGUAUUUGAAAGGAACGGCUGCUCAUGGAUUGGUUUACAAAUGCUCAAGUCAAUCCAAACUUGUUCUUCAAGCUUACUGCGAUGCAGAUUGAGCUGGCAACUUGGAUACACGACAUUCAACCUCCGGAAUUUGCUGCAUAAUUGCCGGUGCUCCGGUUUCAUGGGGAAGCAAGAAGCAAACGACAGUUGCUCUUUCCAGUGCAGAAGCAGAAUACAUAGCUGCCAGUACAGCAGCAAGGGAGAUCAUCUGGCUUCGUCGAUUACUUGGAGAACUCAAUCAACAGCAAUCAGAUGUGACCAUUCUACAUUGCGACAGCAGAAGUGCAAUCGCCAUGUCAAAGAAUCCUGUGUUUCAUGCUCGUACGAAACAUAUAGACGUGCAGCAUCACUUCAUUCGCGAACAUGUAGCAGCCGGAGAUCUUCACCUGGAAUACGUUCCUUCACAGUAUCAGUUGGCGGACCUUCUAACCAAGCCACUUUCGGAGCUCACAUUCAUUAAGCUGAGGAAUCAACUUGGAGUGUCAAGCACACCCUCAGCUUGAAGGGGGAGUGUAGGAAUAAUGAUGAACACGACAAGCAGUCCAAAUCGUGAUCAGAUCUCUGGUGAUUUCCGAUUUGAUUGAAGUUGUAUAUAUAUAUACAGCCAUAUAUGAAUCAGUGUGUGUUGAAGUGAAAUCCGUUGUUCUUGCUCCGCUUUUCUUUGCUGCUUGCGAUGGAAAUGCGAGCAGUUUGUGAGAUUGGAUGGAUUGGAACAAGGGAUUUGCUCGAUCGAGUUUGAAAUAUCACUCGAAUGACAAUCAAUGUUUAAUUUCCCAAGGUAUAAUGGGAAUUUGAAUUCUUAGCGUUGGAAGUUUUAGGAGCGUUGGAUUUGGAGCAUCGCUCCACUUUGUGGAGGCAUCGGCAAUGCCGCAAGAGAAUUUGCAAAGCUAUAAGAGGUACGUUAGCUUGCUGUCGUUUUCUUCCCUCAAGAUCAGACCCCGAGCAGGGAUUAGAAGAACGAGAUGGGAAGAGGGGAUUAGAGGAACAAGAAGAACUGGGACUGGGCCGGUAGAACACGUUGAAGGCCUGUUGCAACAAGAAGAAGAACAGGUUGAAGGCCUCGAGGGCGAUCAAGGGCUGGAAGCAAAAGGACUGGAAUCUGAUGGAGCAGAGAAGAAGAACAGUUUCAAGACCUCAAGGGCAAUCAAGGGCUGGAAGCUGAUGGAGCAGAGGUUCAUGGCACAGGAGGGUGUGUUGACAUUGUCAAAAGAUACGAGUCGAGUGUCAAUAGAUGAAGCAAUACACUGGAAGCUAGCAAUUGUUGAUCUGCUCAGGUCUCCAGGAAUCACGCAACAAUCAGGAAUAGUUGUAUAUAGAGCGUGAAAGACUCAUGAAUAUAUACUCGUUUUUUUAUCUUUAUGGUAUCGGAGUGCAGGUUUGUGGCUCGUUAUUUUCCUUUCUUUGUUCCUGUUUCUUGCUCUCGAUUGCUGAGCUACCAUUUGAUGGCUCAAGGCGUUUUUGGUACUGGAUUGGGGGUGUGGAAUGUGGUCACUUCUCCCUAGGGUGCUCAUUCUUUAGCCAUUGAGUCCACUCAUAGUAGCAAUAUUGCUACUACAAUUAAUCAGGAGUAGAACUGUCUAGCCAUGAUCAAUUGAAGCUGGCAGAACAUCUAGCAUAUGUAACGAGAGUCUAGUCUGCUGCAGAAUUCUGGGAGUGCCUCCUUGUGUGCUGAGGGUUGUCAACUCUUCUGCUGCCACUAAGGAUCAUGGAGGUGUACAAAAUAGACUGGACAUUAUUUCAUCUGCCCAUCCAUUUCAUGAGCAUGAGAAGCUCUAUCCUAUUCCAUUUCUGUCUUGUGUCCCUUUGCUACCCAAAAAUGGUCCCUCUUUGCAGUAUAGACAUGGUCAAUCCUCUCCAGGUUUGCUUUUGCAUUCCUCCAUAUAGACAAACGAUCUGAGCAUAACAUCAGGCAGAUGAUAUGAGUUUGCAUUCUCGUUGCUGAAUUGGAGCCAUGAUACCCACAGAACCUUCAUGUCCACCUCGCAAUGCCAUUGACAUCCUUCUCACAAAGUUGCAAUGGUGCCAAACUUGCCAAUUCAUUCAGCUUCUGCUUGAAAUCAGCUUUUGUGUCCUUGGCAUUUCGAUGUGGUGCCUUCCUUUUAAUCCCAUGAAUGGCCUUCCUUUGGACAGCAUUAACCUGUUGUCAAAUGCCUUCAUCCUUCUCUUCUUCAUCAUUUUCAUCUUCUUCUAGCAAGAUAUGGAGUCCUUGACAUGGUUGGUUGUCACUCACUCACAUGCAUACGCAGCAAUGGCACACUGCUGUAAUAAUCCACUGUCAUCCCUAAUGCUUCCCAUCCCACUGUCCCAUGCAAAGGAGCUUCCUCCCAACCAUCUGGAUGCUGAGGAUGAUGGAUGCCUGGCCCCUUGACCUGACUCACCUGACUGACUCACUUGGGCUACAAGAGAUGCAUUGACACACUUGAUCACUUAUGGCACUGUAACCUCAUAGCAUUGCUGCUGGUUUGAGAGGAGAGGAGCCAAAGGGACACAAUCGAGGACAACAAAAAUAAGUGGAUUUGAACUCAAGUUCUUUUGGGAUUUGGAGGUGACAUCCAAACUCAAUCCAUAAAGAGGUGACUUCCACUUGCAGAGUCAUGGAGAAUAAUGCGAAAAAUAUUCUCAAGAAUUCUCUUAAAAAGGAAUUUGUAUAAAUAUAUUCCAUGUCUUUGUGAGUUCUUACAUUUCAUCAUGUACCUGCCUGUAUUCCCGUGUUCUCAUCACCUGCCAAUCGCUGAUUACAAACAUUAUAUAGAUCAAAAUCAAGAAUUGAAAAUUAUUUCAUGAUAGAAUUUUAUUUUGAAUUUUAUUUUUCCCCAAGCCUACAAGCACAAAUUUCUUGCCCAUGUGUAGCUUUAUUAAUGUUUUUGCACUUUUCUUAUCCCCAUAAUCUUAAAAGUGUGCCAAUUUGCUAUAAAAGCAAUUAAAACAAUCAAAAUGUGAUUGUCACAUGGGGUCUUGCCACGUCCGCAUUGCCACAUACUACUGCUCAGUGCAUAUGAAACCUGGUUGUGUCUGGUUUGCAUUAUCCUGUGAGUUGUCAAGAAAGCUCAGACAGUUCCCAAGAAGGCUCCCCUUCACCUCGUCAAUAUGCUUAGACUUGCUACUUCUGCAGAAAGUUGUUAAAUCCCAUCGCUUCUCCUUUUGACUAGGGGGUAAGAACAAAUCCAAUCGCCCUUGUCCUUUUCACUAGCACAUACUGAUCAAGAGCAAAAAACUAGUUGGCUUGGGAUUUUGAUCAAGCACGAGAAACAAGAGUGGCGAUUUUGCUUCAGGAAUCGAUUGGUUAACUUCGCUUCAUUUUCAGAUUCUGGACGUUUAGGAAUGAUCCAUGAUUUAGAAUUCACUGGGAUUGCCCUGAUCUAUACAGAGCUGGCUUGUGGACUUCUUGAAAACUCUUGUGCUGAAGGGCUCUCUUUUAGGAUUUGAAUCCUAUAAAAUGCUUAAACCAAACCCUAAAUGUGGCAAAUAAUGAAAUAUAUAUGUGUUAUUUGUAAAUUAGGCACCACCCACCCCUUUGGAGGUGUACCUCCCCCUCGAAUUGACAAUAGUUUCUUUCUUCAGCUUCCAGUGCUGGAUGGAAACAGAGGUCUCUGUGGAGUGGGCAUGAAGGAGCGGCCGCCACUGCUGCUGCCCUCCUCUGAAUAGGCCUCGAGAUCCACCCCCGCCCCGCCCAGCUUCGCCGCUCUCCUUCUCGCCAGCGACGCCUCCUGCCGCUGCGCGACGUACUUGCGCGUCCGGCACACAUAGACCGCAAGAACCACUAAGGUAAUCGCGAAGAACAGUCCCACCACGAUCCCAGCGAUCGCCUCGUGCGAGAGCGUGAUCGUUUCCUUGCUGGAUUUGGAUUGCUCCAGUAGCCACCGUCGUCCAAUCGACCCAAUCGCUGGCUGGAUCAUCCGCUGGAUCGAUCCAGGAGCUUCAUACCCGUAUUGGGUGACCUCAUAGGAUGAAUCUACACCGCUGCUACAACCGCCGCCUGGGAUCCAGAUCGCAAGCAGCAGGAAUAGAGAAAGAAGAAGAAGCAAGCCGCUCCUCUGAGUUGGCGCUACCUCUCCGCCAAAUAGCACCAUUUUCGUGAUCCUGCGUGUUCGUUGCCAAGAUAUCUAUUUCUCGACCUCUCAAGUAGAAUGGAAGUUUGGGCGAUUUUAUCAUUUAUAUAGGAAAAAGACCCUCUUGACCUACAAUACAUAACGCGACUAGUUCAAAGUCUUCUUGUGAAUAGCGCGUCAUACGUGGGGCCUUUGACGCUUGUGCUUCGCCUAGACCUUGAAGUUGACAGAACUUUUCUUAUGUGAAUUUCUUCUUCCUAAACCCUAAAUAAUCAAAGUGAUUUCAUGGCAAGAUCGCUUGUGAUCUGCAAAGAAAGAAGGAAUCUUUAUAGAUCAGUCUUCCUUGCCUCAAAAAUCCACAUUGCUUGCCGUGAGCUGAGAUGCAUUUCGACCAGCAGCUUAAAAUUUUUUAAGCCUGGGCGCCAUUUUCAUUAUAGGUUGGAGGGCAAAGCGUGGAGGUGGAUGAUUACACAGAGGAGCAGGAUAUAAUCUCCAGCAUUCUCCACCGUGCCUCAAGGAACUCACUGUUGUGCUCGAGUAUAGCAAGGAUGGUGAUGACCAGAUGGAAGUUAGCAGUCACUGCUGUUGGCUCCCUCACAAAGCUCUCCCUCGAAGCUCUCCAUGGGACCAAAUGGGGAGCAGCGUACUCCACCGCGAUUCAGGAGCUCCACAUCACUGGGAGACCAUGUUGGGGGGUGUGGGAUCUUGUAUGUAGAGACACAUCCUCGCGCUUGGUGACACCUCCGGGCACAAAUGAUUUAUUUGUGGGCACAAAUGACUGUAACACAAAUCAAUCAGUAAGAUUUAACAAAGAAAAAAAACCAAAGAAGAAUAGUCAAGAUCCACAUGAAGAAAUAGUUGUAUUGUCUCCAGAUUAACAAAGAAAAGAGACUGUCCAUGGUCAUCUUGUGUUCACUGUCAAUGCAUUGGAGCGCAAGCCUCAAAACCAUAGGCGAGACUGGGAGAGAUUGGCGAUGGCAUCCACCUUCCAGUGUCCAUAUAACGCCAACUUACGAAGGUUGUCACAUCGCAUGUCCACAACGCAAGAGUUACACUGUUCAAAACCUCUAGGCUCGGGCACGAAGCUAGCAGCAUCUGGAGCAGCGCAUGGGGGACGUAAGAGUAGAGCUCACAUCUUUGUACACGAAUCAUCUUGAAAAGAGAUCUAAGGCAAGAAAGAAUCAUGGCUGUCCACUCUUGAUAGGAAAGAUCAACGCAAAACACUCAAAUGAAACGCAGACCACUACAACCCUGUCUUGGAUUCGAUCGAAAACCCAUCGAGCCUCCAUUGCCGCAUUUCCCAUACAUGUUGAUCAAGCUACUGGCCACACGAGGAUUGGAUUGGAGCCAUAUCCUGUGUGGAUGUGGAUCCUCCUCCCUCUCUCCAAAUCCCUGGCGCCGGUGCAGGAUUUCAUGCUGUGACACUUGCCUUGACUCUAACCAUAAACUUUUCUCUCUAUUUCAAAGAGGUAGGAGCGAGAGGAACUCCAGUCUCCUCUCUAUGUGGCGGUAGCUCCAGUGGAACCUGUGCAGAAAACUCACAAGGACGAGCAUCAACAUCGUGACUCGCAAAACCACAAGAGGUACCAAUUCAUCUUUCGUGAAACUUAGUAGUCAUGCAGUUGAUUUUCAAUAAGAACUUGCAAAGAUCAGGCAUUGCUACUUCUCACGCGUGAAAAAUGCGACCAGGAAAAAAGAAGAGCAAGUCGAACAGCAGCCGGGGCUGCAGUGAAUCACGAUGUCUUCCACUUGAUGAACUCCAAGUAAAUCCUUGAGAACCAUCAUGGUGGGCGGUGUGGGAUCUUGCACGUGAAGAUGAACAGCCACAUCCUUACGCUUGGUGACAACUCCAAGCUCCCUCAGUUAACAGCGAACACAAGAUGACCAUGGACAGUCUCUUCUCUUUGUUUGGCUUUGGAGACAAUACAUACUGACUGCUGUUCUCUUCAGGUUCGUUUUUUUUUAUUUGUCUUGUGUUUCUUGCUGAUCGAUCUGUGUUGCAGUCAUUUGUGCCUGGAGGUGUCACCAAGUGCAAGGAUGUGACUGUUCAUCUUCACGUGUUGGUGGCGCUAAAGCCAGGUUACAAAUGCUUCUGGGUGCUGUUUGACCUGCUCUUUGGUCGCAUUUCUUUUGCAGAGAAACUGCAUCACUGGCUCUAUUAGAAGCGAUGCGUGAUCUUUGUCAAGUUUUUAUUGAACAUCAACGUCAUGACUAGCCUGGUAUAUUUGUAACACCUCGAGCCGCCGUUGAUGCUGUAGGUGACGACGCGCUCAUGUCGCCAUGAAGCGCCAGGCCUGCUCGAGAUCCCCCGCUUUGCACAAGCUAUCGAUCAGAGCUGGUUGUAAGUCGCCACGUCGGGGGAUGGAGCGAUCCCAACAUGGGCAAUGUGAUCUACGCGGAUUGGGCGCGAUCAAGCAUCGCUUCCACGUCAGGGAUUCUUCUCUUCCAUCGCUCUUCCUCUCCUCCUCGCCAUUCGUCCUCCUUGCGGCGCUCUGCAGCCUGCUUGUCGAAGUCUUUCCAUCACUGCUUGCGAUGGAAAUGCGAGCAGUGUGUGAGAUUGGAUGAAUUGGAACAAGGGAUUUUUGAAAUAUCACUUGGAUGACAGAAUCCCCAGCGUUGGAAUUUUUAGGAAGCAACGAGCGUUUGGAUUUGGAGCAUCGCUCCACUUUGUGGAGGCAUCGGCAAUGCCGCAAGAGAAUUUGCAAAGCUAUAAGAGGUAAGACGUUAGCUUGCUGUCGUUUGCUUCCCCCAGGAUCAGACCGAUUAGAAGAACGAGAUGGGAAGAGGGGAUUAGAGGAACGAGAAGAACAGGGACUGGGCCUGGAGCAACGGGUAGAACACGUUGAAGGCCUGUUGCAACUAGAAGAAGAACAUGUUGAAGGCCUCGAGGGCGAUCAAGGGCUGGAAGCAAAAGGACUGGAAGCUGAGAAAAGCAACGAGAAGAAGAACAGGUUCAAGACCUCGAGGGCAAUCAAGGGCUGGAAGCUGAUGGAGCAGAGGUUCACGGCAUAGGAGGGUGUGUUGACAUUGUCAAAAGAUACGAGUCGAGUGUCAAUAGAUGAAGCAAUACACUGGAAGUUAGCAAUUGUUGAUCUGCUCGGGUCUCCAGGAAUCACGCAACAAUCAGGAAUAGCUUGUAUAUAGAGUGUGAAAGACUCAUGAAUAUAUACUCGUUUUUUCUCUUCAUGGUAUCAGAAUGCAGGUUUGUGGCUCAUUACUUUUCCUUUCUUUGUUCCUGUUUCGUGCUCUUGAUUGCUGAUGGAGCGAUUGGCUGCUACCAUUUGAUGGCUCAAGGCGUUUUUGGUACUGGAUAGGGUGCUUAUUCUUCAGCCAUUGAGUCCACUUGUAGUAGCAAUAUUGCUACUACGAUUAAUCAGGAGUAGACUGCUCGAGCCAUCAUCAAAUUGAAGCUAGCAGAACAUCUAGCAUUUGCAACGAGAGUCUAGUCUGCUGCAGAAUUCUGGGAGCCUCCUUGUGUGCUGAGGCCAAGUAGCUGGUGUUGUCAACUCUUCUCCUGCCAAUAAGGAUCGCGGAGGUGUACAAAAUAGACUGGACAUUAUUUCAUCUGCCUCAUCCAUUUCAUGAGCAUGAGAAGCUCUAUCCUAUUCCAUUUCUGUUUUGCGUCCCUUUGCUUCCCAAAAAUGGCCCCUCUUUGCAGUAUAGACAUGGUCAAUCCUCUCCAGGAUUGCUUUUGCAUUCCUCCAUAAAGACAAACAGUCUGAGCAUAACAUGGUACCUCUACAUGGUAGGCAGAUGAGUUCGCACUCUUGUUGCUGAAUUGGAGCCAUGAUACCCACAGAACCUUCAUGUCCACCUUGCAAUUUACAUCGUUCUCGCAAUGGUGCCAAACUUGCAAAUUCAUUCAGCUUCUGUGUCCUUAGCAUUUCGAUGUGGUGCCUUCCUUUUAAUCCCAUUCAAUGCUGUGAAUGGCCUUCCUUCAGAAAGCAUUAACAUGUUAUCAAAUGCCUUCAUCCUCCUAUUCUUCAUCAUUUUCAUCUUCUUCUAGCAAGAUAUCUUCCAUUGGAGUGCUUGACAUGGUUGGUUGGCAGUCACUGCAACAAUGGCACAUUGUUGUAAUAGUCCAUUGUCAUCCCUACUUUGGAAUUGGAAUGCUUCCCAUCCCCCUGUCCCAUGCAAAGGAGCUUCCUCCGAACCAUCUGGAUGCUGAGGAUGAUGGAUGCCGGGCUUGACCUAACUCACCUGACUCACUUGGGCUGCAAGAAAGGCAUUGACACAGUUGAUCACUUAUGGCACUGUAACCUCAUAAGAACCAAAGAGAAGCAAUCUAAGACAACAAGAACCCUAACUUGUAAGUGGAUUUGAACUCAAGUUCUUUUGGAUUUGGAAAAACAAAUUGAGCCAAACUCAGUCCAUGUGGAGAUGACAUCCACUUGCAGAGCCAUGGAGAAUAUGAAAUACUAUAAAAAUAUUAAAAUAAUGCAUGCUAAAAAUAUUCUCAAGGAUUCACUUAAAAAGGAAUUUAUAUAAGUAUAUUCCAUGUUUUUGUGAGUUCUUACAUUUCUGUAUACCCGUGUUCUCAGGGCAUUUCAUCACCUGCCAAUCACUGAUUAUAAACAUUAUACAAAUCAAAAUCAAGAAUUGAAAAUUAUUUCAUGAUAGAAUUUUAUUUUGAAUUUUAUUUUCCCCCAAGCCUACAAGCACAAAUCACUUGCAUUGUUAUUUUAUUUAUUUUUUAUAUUUAUUUUUUUGCACAUUUUUUAUCCCCAUAAUCUUAAAAGUGUGCCAAUUACAUUUUGAUUGAUUACGUCCGCAUUACCACAUGCAGACACGUGCAUGUAGUACUCAUGUUGAUUUUCUACUACUCAGUGCAUAUAGGUUUGCAGCAAGGGAUUGGGGGGUUGAGCAUGAGCCUUUCAAUUAUAAAGUUCACACCAAUGCAAGACUCGGCACUAAACUACCAAGGUCCUCUCCAAUUCCAUGGUAGUCUUCUCCAAAUCGCUAGCACUUGGCGCUUGGCUUAUCCCAGAAUGAGACUGCUCUCUUCGGGCCAUGUAGCCAGCAAUGUGUUUUGUGGCUACCAAUAAGAGGCCAUGAAGAAUUGUAGCAAGUUCCUGAUGUUUGUAUCUUGUUCUGGUCCACUCCUGUGCUUUACAAAGGCCAUGAGAACCGAGUUCCAGUCUCCAGCACAGGAUGUUCUUGUGCGUGAUAUUUUGUCAAAAAUGAGCUUAACCUCUCAUCAUCAUUGUGUAGAGCAGACAGUCUCGCUGCUCGCACUCGUCAGACAAACCUUGGAAUAUGUUUUGAUGGUGGCUUUAGAAUCCUUGAUAUAUCAAGAUCAAAGAAAACAACAAGUAAAAAACUUGAAAACCUGGUUGCAUCUGGUUUGCAUUAUCCUGAGUUGUCAAGAAAGCUUAGAUACUUCCCAAGAAAUCUCCCCUUCACCUCGUCAAUCUGCUUAGACACUUCAUGCUUGACUUGCUACUUUUGCAGAAAGUUGUUAAAUCCCAUCUAUUCUCCUUUUGACUAGUGCAUAGGGGUAAGAAUAAAUUUAAUCGCCCUGUCCUUUUCACUAGCACAUAGAGUUGGGAUACUGAUCAAGAGCAAAAAACUAGUUGGCUUUGGGAUUUUGAUCAAGCACGAGAUUCAGGAAUCGAUUGGUUAACUUUGCUUCAUUUUCAGAUUCUGGACGUUUAGGAAUGAUCCAUGGUUUAGAAUUCACUGGGACGCCCUGAUCUAUGGACAGCUGGCUUGUGGACUUCUUGUGCUGAAGGGCUCUCCAGUUCUUGGGUGAUAUCGACAGUCUUAGAAUGGUGGACAGAAAGCUUGUGUGCCAUCAACGUGAUGAAAUUGUGGCAUUUUAUCGAGCAAGGUCUUUGUGGAGCAUUAAGCUUUGAACCAAGCCCUAAAUGUGGCAAAUAAUGAAAUAUGUUAUUUGUAAAUUGCCACACCCCUUUGGAGGUGUACCUGACAAUAAAUUAUUAUACAACGCUGAUUCGCAAGAAAAAUCAAGUAUCUUUACAUUGCUCUAGUCUAUGGCUCAAAUCGAAUAGUUUCUUUCUUCAUCUUCCAGUGCUGGAUGGAAACAGAGGUCUUUGUGGAGUGGGCAUGAAGGAGCGGCUGCCCUCCUCUGAAUAGCCGUCAGCGCCACCGACCUCGAGUUCCACCCCCGCCCCGCCUAGCUUCGCCGCUCUCCUUCUCGCCAGCGACGCCUCCUGCCGCUGCGCGAUGUACUUGCGCGUCCGGCACACAUAGACCGCAAGAACCACUAAGGCAAUCGCGAAAAACAGUCCCACCACGAUCCCAGCGAUCGCCUCGUGCGAGAGCGUGAUCGUUUCCUUGCUGGAUUUGGAUCGCUGCAGUAGCCACCGUCGUCCAAUCGACCCAAUCGCUGGCUGGAUCAUCCGCUGGAUCGAUCCAGGAGCUUCAUACCCGUAUUGGGUGACCUCAUAGGAUGAAUCUACACCGCUGCUACAACCGCCGCCUGGGAUCCAGAUCGCAAGCAGCAGGAAUAGAGAAAGAAGAAGAAGCAAGCCGCUCCUCUGAGUUGGCGCUACCUCUCCGCCAAAUAGCACCAUUUUCGUGAUCCUGCGUGUUCGUUGCCAAGAUAUCUAUUUCUCGACCUCUCAAGUAGAAUGGAAGUUUGGGCGAUUUU
RNAcentral lists this long non-coding RNA (23270 nucleotides) under Selaginella moellendorffii. RNAcentral's name for it is "long non-coding RNA (SMOE_LNC000811)". The record is from RNAcentral. Lineage: Eukaryota; Viridiplantae; Streptophyta; Lycopodiopsida; Selaginellales; Selaginellaceae.